Salvia splendens (bonfire salvia) is the source of this 1859-nucleotide long non-coding RNA. RefSeq lists it as uncharacterized. The record is from RefSeq and is a predicted model, not a curated record. The transcript is spliced from 7 exons. Lineage: Eukaryota; Viridiplantae; Streptophyta; Magnoliopsida; Lamiales; Lamiaceae.
ACCCUCUGUAUCCCUUCUUGCUUCAUUAAUUCACACACACUCACACACACUUAUGUACAUAGAGAGAGGUUCAUAAACUGUAAAAGGAUUAAAUCAUACUGCAAAAAAUGGAUGAGCAUCUGGAAAUUCCGAGUAAGUUGUUUUCGUCAUCAGAAAAUCGAGAUUCGAUCAGGUUUACGAUAAAAUCGAGGCACCGAAGUUUGUCGACUUCACUGUGCCCGAUCACUACAGGCCCGAUGAUCGUUAUUGGUUUUGCCUUCGCGUGGGAUGUGAUCAAAAGGAUGAGGAAGAAAUGGAUUCUGAAGUAAUCUACAACAAUUUUGUUCUUCCGGUAAUGACAGCCAAGAGUCCCAAUGUAAGGCUUCGGAAAUCACUUGAUAAAAAUGCUUCAAGAACACCUAUCAAAUGACCACUUUCAGCUCCCCCUAAAUCGUCCAAGCCAAGACUGUCAAGGAUGGCUGUCAUUUCAUCGAUUUCUAAGAAGAUCGUCGAGGACAAGAAAAAGGUCGCCCGGCCCCUUUUGAAGCCUGGAUCUACACCCGCUGACAAAGACGAAAACCAGUUGCUGCAAAGUAUCUUACGACUCCAAGGAACAAAAAGAGCACAUCAGAUCAAAGUUCAUUUCAAAGUGUUCAGCAUCCAAAGUCUAUCAAUGUUGAAGUGCCAAAGAGUCUAAUAGUGGCAAAGGCUUUGGUUUUUCGCUCUCCGAAGAAGGCCAUUAAGGUAAAGACAUCUGUUGAGCUGCGUACACCUGUCUCAAAAUUAUGCCAAGGGAUGAACAGGCUUGAUAUUUCUAGUCAAGAAAGCGUGUCUUGGGCUAUUCUUGCAACUCAUCGAAGAAGUUGAGUGAUAACUCAUCAAGGAGACAGGUGAGCAGUCAGAAGUUGUAACCUAAGCCUGAAAAACCUCCUCAAACUUGCAAAGUUCAAGAUGCUAAGUCUGAAAGAUCGAUUAGAACUAAGAUCAAAGGAUAGCUAUCUCAGCAGAAGGAGACUAAGAGCUGGGAAUCUAGUCUGGACUUCGAGAAUCUAGUCAUGAAGACACAUGUAAGCGUUCAACAGUGCCACCAGUGACACAAUGCUUGGAUUCAGUCUCACUAGAUUGCUCAAAAGGGGAAAUUAGCCUUUUAAUCUUAGAAAGAAGAGAUGAUCACGUCCGAAGUUACCAAAGCUCAGGAGAGUAGUGGUAAUAAUGGAAACAAUUCCUAUGAAGGGGAACGGAGCGGACUUGACUCUGAGGAUGGAGAUGAUAAAGAAAAUGCUGCAACCUCUGAUGAGAACAGGAUAUUAAACAGAAUUCUGAAGCAAAAUGGAAGAAAAAUACUUGAAGUGCACGGGAAAUGUGACAAUGUUAGAAAAAAGGGUACUCAACUACGGGAUACUCUGAAAGAGGGUUCGUCAGUUUGUGUGGUCCAGUGACUUAAGUUGAAGAAACCAAUGGCCACGAAUCCUAAAUCAUUUAGACUAAGAACUGAUGAGAGAGGAAUCCUCAAAGAAACCAUCUUGGAUAAAAGAGUCGUCCAUCCCCCAGCCUAGCCACUGUGAAAAUGCAAAUGUGAGUAGUACCCCAGGUGGGAAGUUACUGCAGAAAAGUAUUCAAGUAGGCAUUUUUGUUUCAUGUGAGACUUCUGUGCAUUUGGUGUAGUAGUGAAGAAUGUAGGGGAAGAAGCUGACAAAGUUGAACUUUUGCUGAAUGGGAGCAUGGCAGUAGCUUUUAAGGCUCCAAAACGACAGGAGAGUUCAAAGUCAGCAGCUUCGAUGAAACCAGAGAGUAAUAAAUCUAAGAGCAUCCGCACCGGGAUGAUCUUCCGGACAGCGGAGCCGUGCCAUCGGCACGGCGACGGAUGGACACGUGGCGUU